Molecule: ribosomal RNA, 240 nt
Filed under: uncultured Glomus
Lineage: Eukaryota; Fungi; Glomeromycota; Glomeromycetes; Glomerales; Glomeraceae
Description: partial small subunit ribosomal RNA
Rfam family: Eukaryotic small subunit ribosomal RNA
Source: RNAcentral
UUUGGAGGGCAAAUCUGGUGCCAGCAGCCGCGGUAAUUCCAGCUCCAAUAGCGUAUAUUAAAGUUGUUGCAGUUAAAAAGCUCGUAGUUGAAUUUCGGGAUCAAAUUGUCGGUCGUGCCUCGGUACGUACUGGCGUUAUUGGUUCCUCCCUUCUGAAGAACCGCGAUGUCAUUAAUUUGGUGUCGCGGGGAAUCAGGACUGUUACUUUGAAAAAAUUAGAGUGUGUAAAAGCAGGCACAC